GUGCUGGGAAGGGACGAGCAUGGUCCCUUUAAAUGAUACCGAACGGGGGACAGGGAAGUGCUGGGUAGAGCAAGGCCGGUUCCUGGCUAGGGCUUCACCCUCUGGCUUGUGCCCACGAACCUAGGUGAGGACAGGCACUCCUGCCUUUGGGCCCAAAUGUUGCAUUUUCCAAAACCACCCUGGCCCACCACACCCCCAUCCUGGGCGGAUAAAAACUGAGACCCUAGCAGGCAGAUAGAUACACAAGCGUCUGGACGUCCAGAGGAGGGGAUCAGCGGAAGAAGACACAAGCAGCCGGACAUCGAGAGGAUGUCGAGGGGAGCAUGCCAGUGGAAGAGCACAUGACAGACACUGGCAGGACAGCAGGCCAUUGACUGGAGGAACGAUGUGGAGUUUAGCGAGAUCAGGAGGAGGAGAGCACGGGCCGCUAAGCAGAGGGACCCCUGGUGCAUCUCCCAUCUGGCUCCCCCAUCUGCUGAGAACUACUUCUACUCAGUAAAACCUCGGACUCAUUCUCCAAGCCCUCGCGUGAUCUGGUUCUUCCGGUACACCACGGCAGGAAACCCUGGGAUACAGAAAUCCCUCCGUCCUUGUGGAUUUUAGAAUGCCAAGCUGACAUUUUGAGUUUUUAUGAGAAACCAGAAAAUUUGGUGUGAAGACCCUAAGUGGUGUGUCUGACUUACAGCAGGCCCACAGCAAAUACAUUGGAGACUUCUCAACUUUCUGCUUCUGAUGAUCUCAACUUGUGGUAUGGCAAAAGGAGAGCAAAAUGUUCACCCAGGAACGAGAAGUCCUGGCAGCUGAGUCAUGAUCCCCCAGGAGCCAUUAAGAAGUUAAUCUUCAGUCACUUCCAUCCAAACAGAAGAAAACCCAUGAAGGAUGAGAACUAUGGGUCCUGAGAAUGACAGGUAUUGAAGACAGGAUUUAUCUUCUCUACUUCUUCUUUUAGAAGCAGAUCAAGAAACUGGCGAUUGAAGAGUAACUGAAAGAAACGCAAUCUGAUCUUACUAGCAGUGAAAGAGCGAGUCUCCCUCUGAUGCCGAGCAGAAGCUAGACUGUACUGCUGCCAUCUCAGCUCACUGCAACCUCCCUGCCUGAUUCUCCUGCCUCAGCCUGCUGAGUGCCUGCAAUUGCAGGCGCGCCGCCACGCCUGACUGGUUUUCGUAUUUUUUUGGUGGAGACGGGGAUUCGCUGUGUUGGCCGGGCUGGUCUCCAGCUCCUAACCGCGAGUGAUCCACCAGCCUCGGCCUCCUGAGGUGCCGGGAUUGCAGACGGAGUCUGGUUCACUCAGUGCUCAAUGGCGCCCAGACUGGAGUGCAGUGGCGUGAUCUCAGCUCGCUACAACCUCCACCUCCCAGCCGCCUCCCUUGGCCUCCCAAAGUGCAGAGAUUGCAGCCUCUGCCCGGCCGCCACCCCGCCUGGGAAGUGAGGAGCGUCUCUGCCUGGCCGCCCAUUGUCUGGGAUGUGAGGAGCCCCUCUGCCUGGCUGCCCAGUCUGGAAAGUGAGGAGUGUCUCUGCCUGGCCGCCAUCCCAUCUAGGAAGUGAGGAGCGCCUCUUCCCGGCCGCCAUCCCAUCUAGGAAGUGAGGAGCCUCUCUGCCCAGCCGCCCAUCGUCUGAGAUGUGGGGAGCGCCUCUGCCCCGCCGCCCCGUCUGGGAUGUGAGGAGCGCCUCUACCCCGCCGCGACCCCGUCUGGGAGGUGAGGAGCGUCUCUGCCCGGCGGCCCCGUCUGGGAAGUGAGGAGACCCUCCGCCCGGCAGCCGCCCCAUCUGAGAAGUGAGGAGCCCCUCUGCCCAGCAGCCACCCUGUCUGGGAAGUGAGGAGCGUCUCUGCCCAGCAGCCACCCCGUCUGGGAGGGAGGUGGGGGGUCAGCCCCCCGCCCGGCCAGCCGCCCCGUCCGGGAGGUGAGGGGCGCCUCUGCCCGGCGGCCCCUACUGGGAAGUGAGGAGCCCCUCUGCCCGGCCAGCCGCCCCGUCUGGGAAGUGAGGAGCGUCUCCGCCCAGCAGCCACCCCGUCCGGGAGGGAGGUGGGGGGAUCAGCCCCCCGCCCGGCCAGCCGCCCAGUCCGGGAGGGAGGUGGGGGGGUCAGCCCCCCGCCCGGCCAGCCGCCCCGUCCGGGAGGUGAGGGGUGCCUCUGCCCGGCCGCCCCUACUGGGAAGUGAGGAGCCCCUCUGCCCGGCCAGCCGCCCGGUCCGGGAGGGAGGUGGGGGGGUCAGCCCCCUGCCUGGCAAGCCGCCCCGUCUGGGAGGGAGGUGGGGGGAUCAGCCCCCCGCCGGGCCAGCCACCCCGUCCGGGAGGUGAGGGGUGCCUCUGCCCGGCCGCCCCUACUGGGAAGUGAGGAGCCCCUCUGCCCGGCCAGCCGCCCCAUCCGGGAGUGAGGUGGGGGGGUCAGCCCCCUGCCCGGCCAGCCGCCCCGUCCGGGAGGUGAGGGGCGCCUCUGCCCGGCCGCCCCUACUGGGAAGUGAGGAGCCCCUCUGCCCGGCCACCACCCCGUCUGGGAGGUGUACCCAACAGCUCAUUGAGAACGGGCCAUGAUGACAAUGGCGGUUUUGUGGAAUAGAAAGCGGGGAAAGGUGGGGAAAAGAUUGAGAAAUCGGAUGGUUGCCGUGUCUGUGUAGAAAGAGGUAGACAUGGGAGACUUUUCAUUUUGUUCUGUACUAAGAAAAAUUCUUAUCCUGUUGAUCUGUGACCUUACCCCCAACCCCGUGCUCUCUGAAACAUGUGCUGUGUCCACUCAGGGCUAAAUGGAUUAAGGGCGGUGCAAGAUGUGCUUUGUUAAACAGAUGCUUGAAGGCAGCAUGCUCGUUGAGAGUCAUCACCACUCCCUAAUCUCAAGUAACCAGGGACACAAACACUGUGGAAGGCCGCAGGGUCCUCUGCCUAGGAAAACCAGAGACCUUUGUUCACUUGUUUAUCUGCUGACCUUCCCUCCACUAUUGUCCUAUGACCCUGCCAAAUCCCCCUCUGCGAGAAACACCCAAGAAUGAUCAAUAAAAAAAUAAAAUAAAAUAAAAUAAAAUAAAAUAAAUAAAGUUUCAUGCGCAUCCGUGUGAAGAGACCACCAAACAGGCUUUGUGUGAGCAGCAUGGCUGUUUAUUUCACCUGGGUGCAGGCGGGCUGAGUCCGAAAAGAGAGUCAGCCAAGGG
RNAcentral lists this long non-coding RNA (3143 nucleotides) under Homo sapiens (human). Its description in RNAcentral is "HSALNT0044669". The record is from RNAcentral. Lineage: Eukaryota; Metazoa; Chordata; Mammalia; Primates; Hominidae.